Molecule: ribosomal RNA, 497 nt
Filed under: uncultured bacterium
Lineage: Bacteria
Description: bacterial SSU rRNA
Rfam family: Bacterial small subunit ribosomal RNA
Source: RNAcentral
GAUGAACGCUAGCUACAGGCUUAACACAUGCAAGUCGAGGGGCAUCACAGUGUAGCAAUACACGGGUGGCGACCGGCGCACGGGUGCGUAACACGUAUCCAAUCUGCCCGUUACUCGGGGAUAGCCUUCUGAAAGGAAGAUUAAUACCCGAUGGCAUGUAUUUCCGGCAUCGGAGAUACAUUAAAGAUUUAUCGGUAACGGAUGAGGAUGCGUACGAUUAGCUGGUUGGCGGGGUAACGGCCCACCAAGGCUACGAUCGUUAGGGGUUCUGAGAGGAAGGUCCCCCCACACUGGAACUGAGACACGGUCCAGACUCCUACGGGAGGCAGCAGUGAGGAAUAUUGGUCAAUGGUCGAGAGACUGAACCAGCCAAGUAGCGUGAAGGAUGACUGCCCUACGGGUUGUAAACUUCUUUUGUUUGGGAAUAAAUGAUACUACGUGUAGUAUUUUGCAUGUACCUUACGAAUAAGCAUCGGCUAAUUCCGUGCCAGCAGCCG